RNAcentral lists this ribosomal RNA (255 nucleotides) under uncultured bacterium. RNAcentral describes it as "partial 16S ribosomal RNA". It matches the Rfam family "Bacterial small subunit ribosomal RNA", at positions 524 to 776 of the family's 1533-position model. The record is from RNAcentral.
GACGAACCGUGCGAACGUUAUUCGGAAUCACUGGGCUUAAAGCGCGUGUAGGCGGGAGGGAACGUCGGCCGCUGAAAUCCCCCGGCUUAACCGGGGAAGGGGCGCCGAUACGGCCUUCCUGGAGGGACGUAGGGGGAGCUGGAACUUCCGGUGGAGCGGUGAAAUGCGUUGAGAUCGGAAGGAACGCCCGCGGCGAAAGCGAGCUCCUGGACGUCUGCUGACGCUGAGACGCGAAAGCCAGGGGAGCGGAACGGG